Molecule: ribosomal RNA, 305 nt
Filed under: uncultured bacterium
Lineage: Bacteria
Description: bacterial SSU rRNA
Rfam family: Bacterial small subunit ribosomal RNA
Source: RNAcentral
GGCCCUACGGGGCGCAGCAGUGGGGGAUAUUGCACAAUGGGGGAAACCCUGAUGCAGCGACGCCGCGUGUGGGAAGACGGUCCUCUGGAUUGUAAACCACUGUCCCCAGGGACGAAGAUGACGGUACCCGGGGAGGAAGCUCCGGCUAACUACGUGCCAGCAGCCGCGGUAAUACAUAGGGGGCAAGCGUUAUCCGGAAUUAUUGGGUGUAAAGGGUGCGUAGACGGAAGAACAAGUUGGUUGUGAAAUCCCUCGGCUCAACUGAGGAACUGCAACCAAAACUAUUCUCCUUGAGUGUCGGAGAG